GCUCUGCUAGUUCAGUCGGAAGAGCAUGAGAUCCUUAAUCUCAGGUUCGUGGGUUCGAGCCCCACAUUGUGUG
RNAcentral lists this transfer RNA (73 nucleotides) under Danio rerio (zebrafish). It matches the Rfam family "tRNA". Rfam says of the family: Transfer RNA (tRNA) molecules are approximately 80 nucleotides in length. Their secondary structure includes four short double-helical elements and three loops (D, anti-codon, and T loops). Further hydrogen bonds mediate the characteristic L-shaped molecular structure. tRNAs have two regions of fundamental functional importance: the anti-codon, which is responsible for specific mRNA codon recognition, and the 3' end, to which the tRNAs corresponding amino acid is attached (by aminoacyl-tRNA synthetases). tRNAs cope with the degeneracy of the genetic code in two manners: having more than one tRNA (with a specific anti-codon) for a particular amino acid; and 'wobble' base-pairing, i.e. permitting non-standard base-pairing at the 3rd anti-codon position. The record is from Rfam by way of RNAcentral. Lineage: Eukaryota; Metazoa; Chordata; Actinopteri; Cypriniformes; Danionidae.